RNAcentral lists this ribosomal RNA (696 nucleotides) under Triticum aestivum (bread wheat). RNAcentral describes it as "partial small subunit ribosomal RNA". Lineage: Eukaryota; Viridiplantae; Streptophyta; Magnoliopsida; Poales; Poaceae. The record is from RNAcentral.
AUGGAAGUGAAUAUCAGCAGGAUAAUAUCUUUGAAUGGUACAAAUUAUCAAGCAUGGAAGGGCAAGAUGGAGGACUUGUUGUAUGUGAAAGAAUACUGGAAGCCAGUGUUCUCCACUGAGAUGCCAGAGGGCAUUGAGGAAGGUCAGUGGAAGGUAUUUCAUCGCCAAGCUUGUGGGUUCAUCCGGCAAUGGGUCGAUGACAAUGUUUUAAACCAUAUCAUUGAUGAGACACAUGCACGCACCUUAUGGCAGAAAUUGGAAGAGUUGUUUCCCCGAAAAGAAGGUACAAACAAGAUGUUCUUGAUCAAACAAUUGAUAUGCUUGAGGUACAAAGAGGGCAUUCUAAUUGCAGAUCAUGUGAAUACAUUCCAAGGCAUUAUAAAUCAGCUUUCUUCAAUGGGAAUAACAUUUGAAGAUGAAGUGAGAGCUUUGCUGCUACUAGGCUCAUUACCGGACAGCUGGGAGACCUUUAAGGUCACGGUUUGCAAUUCAGCACCUAAUGAAGUUGUCACUUGGAAUCUUGUGAAAACCAGGGUACUAAAUGAAGAGUCUGGAAAGGUGGCUGAAGCUAGUUCUUCCUCACAUUCAGAGGUGCUAGUCACUCAGUCCAGGGGGAGAAGCAAGAGCAGAGGUCCAGGUAAAGGGGUAGAAAGAGGUAGGAGCAAAUCAAAAAGUAAGUAUGCUGAUUAUGAGUGA